CGUAGGUGGCAAGCGUUGUCCGGAUUUAUUGGGCGUAAAGCGAGCGCAGGCGGUUUCUUAAGUCUGAUGUGAAAGCCCCCCGGCUCAACCGGGGGAGGGUCAUUGGAAACUGGGAGACUUGAGUGCAGAAGAGGAGAGUGGAAUUCCAUGUGUAGCGGUGAAAUGCGUAGAUAUAUGGAGGAACACCAGUGGCGAAGGCGGCUCUCUGGUCUGUAACUGACGCUGAGGCUCGAAAGCGUGGGGAGCAA
Molecule: ribosomal RNA, 248 nt
Filed under: Enterococcus faecalis
Lineage: Bacteria; Bacillati; Bacillota; Bacilli; Lactobacillales; Enterococcaceae
Description: partial 16S ribosomal RNA
Rfam family: Bacterial small subunit ribosomal RNA
Source: RNAcentral